This 869-nucleotide long non-coding RNA is filed under the name Sus scrofa (pig). Its description in RNAcentral is "lncRNA (ENSSSCG00005019082.1)". Lineage: Eukaryota; Metazoa; Chordata; Mammalia; Artiodactyla; Suidae. The record is from RNAcentral.
AUUCACCUUGGCUCUGGCAAGGCUGGGGAAGAGGUGAAGGAAAGGAUGCACGGGGCACACAUUGUGCUAAAGUUCUUUGAAAAUGCCAGUUUAUCUACAGAGGCCUGUGAUUUCAUAAUUCAAGAAUAUUGAUAUAUAUGCUCAGAUGGUUUAGUUUACUUCUUUUCUGGAAAAUUCUAGAAUUUGCAGAUUCUCCUAGAGAAAGCAUCAAUCCUGAUGAACUUUUCAAAAUCCUCCAUGAACAAUAUAGAUAAUCUAGAUUCCAGCUUUAAAUAGCCUGAAGGAAUGAUUCCACUUGGAAGAAUGGGAUACUCACCCAUGCCAUUCCAUUCAGCCAACGGUCAACUUCUGCUCAGAAUUAGCUCAACUUUCUUCGCCCUCUAGAGCACUUAAAGUUACUCUUAAAAAUAUGUCCAGAGAUAUAAUAAUUAUCUAUAGGAGGUCUGGGUCAGUAAGAGAUCACUAGGCUAUACCAGAAUUCAAACCCAAAGUUAUAAAAUGUAGCCACUGAUUGUAUUUAUCAUUUCUCUCUUUCUCCUCCUCUUUUCUUCUUUUUUUUUUAAUGCUUUACUUGAUUGUAGAAACAAACUUUAAAGGAAGUUUGAUGACUUGGGAGGGACUGUGUUGUUAUUUUAGUUUUUCUUUUUUUCUUUUUUUUUUUUUUUCUUUUUUUUAGGGCUGUACAUGCAGCAUAUGGAAGUUCCCAAGCUAGGGGUCACAUCGGAGCUACAGAUGCUGGCCUACACCACAGACACUGCAAUGCAGGAUCUGAGCUGUGUCUUUGACCUGCACCACAGCUCAGGGCAAUGCUGGAUCCUUAACCCAUUGAGUGAGGCCAGGGCUUGAAUCCGCAUCAUCGUGGAUACUAG